This 21-nucleotide non-coding RNA is filed under the name Arabidopsis thaliana (thale cress). Lineage: Eukaryota; Viridiplantae; Streptophyta; Magnoliopsida; Brassicales; Brassicaceae. The record is from RNAcentral.
GCAAAGGUGGAGCAGGAGCCC